Molecule: unclassified non-coding RNA, 353 nt
Filed under: soil metagenome
Description: partial contains 5.8S ribosomal RNA, internal transcribed spacer 2, and large subunit ribosomal RNA
Rfam family: 5.8S ribosomal RNA (bases 1-120)
Source: RNAcentral
GAUGAAGAACGUAGCGAAACGCGAUAUGUAAUGUGAAUUGCAGAAUUCAGUGAAUCAUCGAAUCUUUGAACGCACAUGGCGCCUUCCAGUAUCCUGGGAGGCAUGCCUGUCCGAGCGUCGUUUCAACCCUCGAGCCCCCGUGGCCCGGCGUUGGGAUCUGCCCAGGCAGUCCCCGAAAACCAGUGGCGGACCCGUUACAGGCCCUUCCCUUGCGUAGUAGCAUUCGCCUCGCAUCGGGAGCCGGCGGGCUUCCAGCCUCUAAACCCCCAUCAAGUCCGCCCCGGCGGCACCAAGGUUGACCUCGGAUCAGGUAGGAAUACCCGCUGAACUUAAGCAUAUCAAUAAGCGGAGGA